UGUUAUUCAAAUGGUCAUGAUUUUAAAAUAUCAUCCAAAAUUCAAUGUUAUUUAAUAUGAAUCUUGCUUAAAAUAAUUCAAAAUAAUACAAUCCCUUAUUAUAUAUAAAACCCAUAUCAAUUCUAGUGUUAAUUCAAAUUUUCACUUUUAUGGUAGGAAGUAACAAAUAUGCAAUGCAAGUGAUUGAAAAAAGUUCUAUUAAUUGGUAAUGAACUCAUACACUAGCAAUGAUAUUUUGAACUUUAGACAACAACCUAAGAGUUUAACCACACAGUUGUGAAUUUGUAUAAGCGUAAGCACUUCGUUUAUGAAUUGCUUUACUUGGCUACACUCACUAAAACAAGUCUUCUUUAUGCCAACUAUGUAGUUUUUUUUUUAUAGACCACUCAUUGGCAAACCAUUAUAUUUAUUGUUCGUAAAGAUUUAAGGUUAGAAGUAGAAAAAAAUGAUGACAUUGAUGGAAUGAAACGUCACCUCUAAGUAUAGAGUAGAAGACAUGAUAAAAAGAGAGAAAAUAUUAAGUUUUCAUGGAUGAAAAAUAAAGUCUUUAGUAAUUAUAUGAUUAAGAAAUAGUAAAAUCAAAUUCACUAAACUCUUAA
This 599-nucleotide small RNA is filed under the name Arabidopsis thaliana (thale cress). RNAcentral describes it as "ATSL150910". The record is from RNAcentral. Lineage: Eukaryota; Viridiplantae; Streptophyta; Magnoliopsida; Brassicales; Brassicaceae.